GAUGAACGCUGACAGAAUGCUUAACACAUGCAAGUCAACUUGAACUUCGGUUUGGGUGGCGGACGGGUGAGUAACGCGUAAAGAACUUGCCUCACAGCUAGGGACAACAUUUGGAAACGAAUGCUAAUACCUGAUAUUAUGAUUUUAGGGCAUCCUAGAAUUAUGAAAGCUAUCUGCGCUGUGAGAGAGCUUUGCGUCCCAUUAGCUAGUUGGAGAGGUAACGGCUCACCAAGGCGAUGAUGGGUAGCCGGCCUGAGAGGGUGAACGGCCACAAGGGGACUGAGACACGGCCCUUACGCCUACGGGAGGCAGCAGUGGGGAAUAUUGGACAAUGGACCAAGAGUCUGAUCCAGCAAUUCUGUGUGCACGAUGAAGUUUUUCGGAAUGUAAAGUGCUUUCAGUUGGGAAGAAAAAAAUGACGGUACCAACAGAAGAAGUGACGGCUAAAUACGUG
RNAcentral lists this ribosomal RNA (454 nucleotides) under uncultured bacterium. RNAcentral describes it as "partial 16S ribosomal RNA". It matches the Rfam family "Bacterial small subunit ribosomal RNA", at positions 28 to 507 of the family's 1533-position model. The record is from RNAcentral.